Enterococcus mundtii is the source of this 175-nucleotide non-coding RNA. The record is from Rfam. Lineage: Bacteria; Bacillati; Bacillota; Bacilli; Lactobacillales; Enterococcaceae.
CAAUGAGGUAGAGGUCGCGAGAAUCAUUAAACCUGUGGAGUGAAGCAAACAUGUGGAAGCAGGGCUAGGGAGGAUCGCCGAAAUGUACUUUUUUUUGCUUAAAAAGUAUGUUGGGACGUAAGUUAACAGCUUACGGACUGUCUUAGCAGUGAUGCUAAGUUGCGCUAUGUUUUGU